RNAcentral lists this transfer RNA (80 nucleotides) under Metarhizium rileyi. Its description in RNAcentral is "tRNA-Arg". It matches the Rfam family "tRNA". Rfam says of the family: Transfer RNA (tRNA) molecules are approximately 80 nucleotides in length. The record is from RNAcentral. Lineage: Eukaryota; Fungi; Ascomycota; Sordariomycetes; Hypocreales; Clavicipitaceae.
GCCUCCGUGGUGCAGUGGUUUAGCACUCUGGACUUCUAUCGCAGUUAUACUGGAAGCUAGUUCGAACCCAGCCGGAGACA